UAGUACGGCGAGUGAAGCGGCAACAGCUCAAAUUUGAAAGCUGGCCUUCGGGUCCGCAUUGUAAUUUGUAGAGGAUGCUUUGGGUGAAACGCCAGUCUAAGUUCCUUGGAACAGGACGUCAUAGAGGGUGAGAAUCCCGUAUGUGACUGGAAAUGUUAACCUAUGUAAAGCUCCUUCGACGAGUCGAGUUGUUUGGGAAUGCAGCUCUAAAUGGGAGGUAAAUUUCUUCUAAAGCUAAAUAUUGGCGAGAGACCGAUAGCGCACAAGUAGAGUGAUCGAAAGAUGAAAAGCACUUUGGAAAGAGAGUUAAAAAGCACGUGAAAUUGUUGAAAGGGAAGCGCUUGCAAUCAGACUUGUUUAAACUGUUCGGCCGGUCUUCUGACCGGUUUACUCAGUUUGGACAGGCCAGCAUCAGUUUCGGCGGCCGGAUAAAGGCUCUGGGAAUGUGGCCUUCACUUCGGUGAAGGUGUUAUAGCCCAGGGUGUAAUACGGCCAGCCGGGACUGAGGUCCGCGCUUCGGCUAGGAUGCUGGCGUAAUGGUUGUAAGCGACCCGUCU
This 557-nucleotide ribosomal RNA is filed under the name Aureobasidium sp. YS61. RNAcentral describes it as "eukaryotic LSU rRNA". It matches the Rfam family "Eukaryotic large subunit ribosomal RNA", at positions 81 to 654 of the family's 3401-position model. Lineage: Eukaryota; Fungi; Ascomycota; Dothideomycetes; Dothideales; Saccotheciaceae. The record is from RNAcentral.